CGAAAGCCUGACGGAGCAAUACCGCGUGAGGGAGGAAGGCUCUUGGGUUGUAAACCUCAAAACUUAGGGAAGAAAAAAAUGACGGUACCUAAUAUAAGCAUCGGCUAACUCCGUGCCAGCAGCCGCGGUAAUACGGAGGAUGCGAGCGUUAUCCGGAAUCAUUGGGCGUAAAGAGUCUGUAGGUGGCACUUCAAGUCUGCUGUCAAAGACCGAAGCUUAACUUCGGGCAGGCGGUGGAAACUGAAGAGCUAGAGUUCGGGAGGGGUAGAGGGAAUUCCCAGUGUAGCGGUGAAAUGCGUAGAGAUUGGGAAGAACACCAGUGGCGAAGGCGCUCUACUGGACCGAAACUGACACUGAGGGACGAAAGCUAAGGUAGCG
RNAcentral lists this ribosomal RNA (378 nucleotides) under uncultured cyanobacterium. Its description in RNAcentral is "bacterial SSU rRNA". It matches the Rfam family "Bacterial small subunit ribosomal RNA", at positions 376 to 770 of the family's 1533-position model. Lineage: Bacteria; Bacillati; Cyanobacteriota. The record is from RNAcentral.